UGGGGGAAAGCUGGCAGUCACAGGCCUCAUCCAGUUCCCAUGCAAUCUGAAGGGCCAAUCUCACUCCCUUCAGGGUGUGCACCCCUCAACAGCACCAAGUCUGUUUCCGGGGAGUGGGCAAGCAGGGCUGAGAACUUGCCCCAGGCUACCUGCCUCCCAGCUGCAAAAGCAAAUAUGGCUUUCCUUCUGCCUAUGAAGUCUGCACACCAGAUGCACACCCUCCCCCAAGUUCUGGGCAGGAGGCUUCUCAAUCAGGUCAAAUUGUUACAGAGUUCAGCUGGAGAUUUCCCUCUCCCCACGGCCUUUUCCUAGCACCUCUGGCCACCCUCCGGAAGGACUCCUGUGAGGCCAGGCAAAACUGUCUUACUAGGAGACUCAGCAAGCUCCCAGGACUUUUCUCGCUGCUUCCUCUACCCCUGUAUUUUUCUUGGCUCUCUAAAGUAACUCAGCUUCAGGAACUUCAGAAGAAAUGAAGGAUACAUUUCUCCUAGAGAAGAGACUAUGGGAAGCAUAAUGAGGACCUUCAAAUGAAAGAGAAGGUGGACAGGUCCUGCUUUGCUGCAACCAGCACUGUCAGAACUAGAAGGCAGAGAGUUGAAAGAAUCAGAUGUCUGUUCAAUACAAGCUACUUGGCUGGGCACAGUGGCUCACAUCUAUAAGAAAACUGGGGCACAGAGAGGUCAGCUAACUAGACUAAAGUCACACAGCUGGAAUAUGAGAGAGCCAGGACCAAGCCCGCAAGUGGAGCCUUCAGGUCUAUGCCUUCCCCACUGCACCGCACAGCCUGGGACACAAGCAGAGAUCAUCUGAAGGCACUCAGAAGAAAAGUAUGGGAUGGAGUCAAGGAAGUCUUCCGGCAUUUGAAUAAACAGCCACAGUGAGGUAGCUCUGCCCCUCCGAUGAAAAGGGAGGAAAAUUGCCUCAUUAAAAAACAUUUUCAAUAAAAAAUUUUCAUCAGAAACAUUCGCAAGAGGGUUUUGGUCAAAUGACGCAAUAAUUUUCAGGCAAUAAUAACCAUGCUUUUGAAAGUCAGUGCUGAUUACCAGGUGUAUUGAAAAUGGCCUUGGGGAAAUCUCUGUGCAAAUAUUUCCUUUCUAGUUUAAUUUCAAAGACUACUUAAAAGAAGAAAGGGAGGAUGUCUGCAGUAAUAAAGGAGCAAUCAUUUGCACCUGGACAGGACUAUGCUUCAUCCCAGAAUCUGGAGCGUUUUGUGUACAGACGGGAGAGCCCGGGUGUGCAGUGGAGGCUGCGGGGCUGGGAAGGGAUAUGGCAGAAAAACAAGGUACCUCUACCAAGGUCACACGGAAACACAGGUGGACUCGAUAGCACGGCUCCCACCUGAUUACAAUCACACAGCUUCCCUGCUCUAAAGAGAACACCGAUCACGUGAUGGGAGGUCCCUCCUCGCUUCAAGAUCAAAGCCUCUGCAGCUGCCAUGAAGCUAAUAAGGCCAUGGCCAAGUUUACUGAGCAUCUGUUACAUACACAGCCCGUUAGGCACCACGGGAGAGAACGAAGAGGGAUAGACCCUGAUCCUGCCAGCAAGUGCCAGACGAGCU
Long non-coding RNA from Callithrix jacchus (white-tufted-ear marmoset), 1558 nucleotides. RefSeq lists it as uncharacterized. NCBI's taxonomy places the organism in Eukaryota, Metazoa, Chordata, Mammalia, Primates, Cebidae. The record is from RefSeq and is a predicted model, not a curated record.